RNAcentral lists this ribosomal RNA (918 nucleotides) under Escherichia coli. RNAcentral's name for it is "bacterial SSU rRNA". It matches the Rfam family "Bacterial small subunit ribosomal RNA", at positions 627 to 1533 of the family's 1533-position model. The record is from RNAcentral. Lineage: Bacteria; Pseudomonadati; Pseudomonadota; Gammaproteobacteria; Enterobacterales; Enterobacteriaceae.
CUGAUACUGGCAAGCUUGAGUCUCGUAGAGGGGGGUAGAAUUCCAGGUGUAGCGGUGAAAUGCGUAGAGAUCUGGAGGAAUACCGGUGGCGAAGGCGGCCCCCUGGACGAAGACUGACGCUCAGGUGCGAAAGCGUGGGGAGCAAACAGGAUUAGAUACCCUGGUAGUCCACGCCGUAAACGAUGUCGACUUGGAGGUUGUGCCCUUGAGGCGUGGCUUCCGGAGCUAACGCGUUAAGUCGACCGCCUGGGGAGUACGGCCGCAAGGUUAAAACUCAAAUGAAUUGACGGGGGCCCGCACAAGCGGUGGAGCAUGUGGUUUAAUUCGAUGCAACGCGAAGAACCUUACCUGGUCUUGACAUCCACGGAAGUUUUCAGAGAUGAGAAUGUGCCUUCGGGAACCGUGAGACAGGUGCUGCAUGGCUGUCGUCAGCUCGUGUUGUGAAAUGUUGGGUUAAGUCCCGCAACGAGCGCAACCCUUAUCCUUUGUUGCCAGCGGUCCGGCCGGGAACUCAAAGGAGACUGCCAGUGAUAAACUGGAGGAAGGUGGGGAUGACGUCAAGUCAUCAUGGCCCUUACGACCAGGGCUACACACGUGCUACAAUGGCGCAUACAAAGAGAAGCGAUCUCGCGAGAGCAAGCGGACCUCAUAAAGUGCGUCGUAGUCCGGAUUGGAGUCUGCAACUCGACUCCAUGAAGUCGGAAUCGCUAGUAAUCGUGGAUCAGAAUGCCACGGUGAAUACGUUCCCGGGCCUUGUACACACCGCCCGUCACACCAUGGGAGUGGGUUGCAAAAGAAGUAGGUAGCUUAACCUUCGGGAGGGCGCUUACCACUUUGUGAUUCAUGACUGGGGUGAAGUCGUAACAAGGUAACCGUAGGGGAACCUGCGGUUGGAUCACCUCCUUACCUUAAAGAAGC